Nematostella vectensis (starlet sea anemone) is the source of this 83-nucleotide non-coding RNA. The record is from Rfam. NCBI's taxonomy places the organism in Eukaryota, Metazoa, Cnidaria, Anthozoa, Actiniaria, Edwardsiidae.
ACCAGGAUGGCCGAGUGGUUAAGGCGUUGGACUUAAGUUCAAAUGUACGGAUGUACGCGUGGGUUCGAACCCCACUCCUGGUA